RNAcentral lists this ribosomal RNA (436 nucleotides) under uncultured Methanomethylovorans sp. RNAcentral's name for it is "bacterial SSU rRNA". It matches the Rfam family "Archaeal small subunit ribosomal RNA", at positions 903 to 1338 of the family's 1478-position model. The record is from RNAcentral. Lineage: Archaea; Methanobacteriati; Methanobacteriota; Methanomicrobia; Methanosarcinales; Methanosarcinaceae.
AAGUUGGACUCAACGCCGGAAAACUCACCGGGGGCGACAGCAAUAUGUAGGUCAAGCUAAAGACUUUACCAGAAUCGCUGAGAGGAGGUGCAUGGCCGUCGUCAGUUCGUACUGUGAAGCAUCCUGUUAAGUCAGGCAACGAGCGAGACCCGUGCCCACUGUUGCCAGCAUGUCCUUCGGGAUGAUGGGUACUCUGUGGGGACCGCCGAUGCUAAAUCGGAGGAAGGUGCGGGCUACGGUAGGUCAGUAUGCCCCGAAUCUCCCGGGCUACACGCGGGCUACAAUGACUGGGACAAUGGGCUCCUACCCCGAAAGGGGAUGGUAAUCUCAUAAACCCAGCCUUAGUUCGGAUCGAGGGCUGUAACCCGCCCUCGUGAAGCUGGAAUCCGUAGUAAUCGCGUUUCAACAUAGCGCGGUGAAUACGUCCCUGCUCCUU